CGCAUCUGUGCAUGCAGCAUAUCAAUAAGCGGAGGAAAAGAAACUAACAAGGAUUCCCCUAGUAACGGCGAGUGAAGCGGGAAGAGCUCAAAUUUGAAAUCUUAAAGGGUUUCCCUUUACGAAUUGUAGUUUAAAGAAGUGUUUUCUGUUGAGGUUUUGGUAAAAGUUCUUUGGAAUAGGACAUCAUAGAGGGUGAGAAUCCCGUAUUUGACCUUUACUUUCAACUUUGUGAUACACUUUCAAAGAGUCGGAUUGUUUGGGAAUGCAGUCCAAAAUGGGUGGUAAAUUUCAUCUAAAGCUAAAUAUUGGCGAGAGACCGAUAGCGAACAAGUACCGUGAGGGAAAGAUGAAAAGGACUUUGAAAAGAGAGUUAAACAGUACGUGAAAUUGUCAAAAGGGAAGCGUUUGACACCAGUGUUGUUUUUCUGAAAAUCAAUUAAAGAACUGUUUAUGCUAAGUUGUUUAGACUUUAUCAGCUAUCUGUUUAGUUUUGAGCUUUUCUUUAAUGCACUUUUCAGUUAACAAGUCAACAUCAAUUUCUUUUGCUGUAAAAAAGCUUGAGGAAGGUGGCUUGAGAUUCGUCUUAAGUGUUUAUAGCCUCUUGCCUAUGCAGUCGGAGAGAUUGAGGUCUGCAGCGUAGAUCCUUCGGGGCUAAAUGCAUUUGUGCUAAGUUAUAGCAUUUUAUAGACAACUUGUUGACUAUGAUUUGUCUUGUAGCUUACUCGCUUAUGUUAUUUUACCUACGCUUAGGAUGUUGAGUCGUAGAGCACGCAG
RNAcentral lists this ribosomal RNA (774 nucleotides) under uncultured Neocallimastigales. RNAcentral's name for it is "partial large subunit ribosomal RNA". It matches the Rfam family "Eukaryotic large subunit ribosomal RNA", at positions 26 to 628 of the family's 3401-position model. Lineage: Eukaryota; Fungi; Neocallimastigomycota; Neocallimastigomycetes; Neocallimastigales. The record is from RNAcentral.